This 468-nucleotide ribosomal RNA is filed under the name uncultured bacterium. Its description in RNAcentral is "partial 16S ribosomal RNA". It matches the Rfam family "Bacterial small subunit ribosomal RNA", at positions 28 to 507 of the family's 1533-position model. The record is from RNAcentral.
GACGAACGCUGGCGGCGUGCUUAACACAUGCAAGUCGAACGGAAAGGCCCUGCUUUUGUGGUGUGCUCGAUUGGCGAACGGGUGAGUAACACGUGAGUAACCUGCUCUUGACUUUGGUAUAACUUCAGGAAACUGGGGCUAAUACCGGAUAGGAGCUGCUGCUGCAGUGUGGGGGGUGGAAAGUUUCGGCGGUUGGGGAUGGACUCGCGGCUUAUCAGCUUGUUGGUGGGGUAGUGGCUUACCAAGGCUUUGACGGGUAGCCGGCCUGGGAGGGUGACCGGCCACAUUGGGACUGAGGUACGGACCAGACUCCUACGGGAGGCAGUAGUGGGGAAUAUUGCCCAGUGGGAGGAAGCCUGAUGCGGCGACGCCGCGUGCGGGAUGACGGCCUUCGGGUUGUAAACAGCUGUAGCUUGUGGCGAAGCGUGAGUGACGGUAAUGAGUAAAGAAGCACCGGCUAACUACGUG